This 424-nucleotide ribosomal RNA is filed under the name uncultured bacterium. RNAcentral's name for it is "bacterial SSU rRNA". It matches the Rfam family "Bacterial small subunit ribosomal RNA", at positions 356 to 773 of the family's 1533-position model. The record is from RNAcentral.
AGGGAAUCUUCCGCAAUGGGCGAAAGCCUGACGGAGCAAUGCCGCGUGAGUGAUGAAGGUUUUCGGAUCGUAAAGCUCUGUUGCCAGGGAAGAACGCUUGGGAGAGUAACUGCUCUCAAGGUGACGGUACCUGAGAAGAAAGCCCCGGCUAACUACGUGCCAGCAGCCGCGGUAAUACGUAGGGGGCAAGCGUUGUCCGGAAUUAUUGGGCGUAAAGCGCGCGCAGGCGGUCAUUUAAGUCUGGUGUUUAAUCCCGGGGCUCAACCCCGGAUCGCACUGGAAACUGAGUGACUUGAGUGCAGAAGAGGAGAGUGGAAUUCCACGUGUAGCGGUGAAAUGCGUAGAUAUGUGGAGGAACACCAGUGGCGAAGGCGACUCUCUGGGCUGUAACUGACGCUGAGGCGCGAAAGCGUGGGGAGCAAAC